RNAcentral lists this transfer RNA (72 nucleotides) under Planctomycetota bacterium. Its description in RNAcentral is "Planctomycetes bacterium tRNA-Gln". It matches the Rfam family "tRNA". Rfam says of the family: Transfer RNA (tRNA) molecules are approximately 80 nucleotides in length. Their secondary structure includes four short double-helical elements and three loops (D, anti-codon, and T loops). RNAcentral also lists the same sequence under 3 other names. The record is from RNAcentral. Lineage: Bacteria; Pseudomonadati; Planctomycetota.
UGGGGCGUAGUGUAAUUGGCAACACUGCAGAUUCUGACUCUGCCAUUCUAGGUUCGAGUCCUAGCGCCCCAG